GAUGAACGCUGGCGGCGUGCUUAACACAUGCAAGUCGAACGGUGAAGCAGAGCUUUCUCUGUGGUUCAGUGGCGAACGGGUGAGUAACUCGUGAGCAACCUGCCCCUGUCUCUGGGAUAAGCGCUGGCAACGGCGUCUAAUACUGGAUAUGUGCUGCGACCGCAUGGUCAGCAGUUGGAAAGAUUUUUCGGUCUGGGAUGGGCUGACGGCCUAUCAGCUAGUUUGUGAGGUAAUGGCUCACCAAGGCGUCGACGGGUAGCCGGCCUGAGAGGGUGUCCGGCCACAAUGGGACUGGGACACGGCGCAGACUCCUACGGGAGGCAGCAGUGGGGAAUAUUGCAGAAUGGGCGAAAGCCUGAUGCAGCAACGCCGCGUGAGGGAUGACGGCCUUCGGGUUGUAAACCUAUUUUAGCAGGGAAGAAGCGAAAGUGACGGUACCUGCAGAAAAAGCGACGGCUAACUACGUG
RNAcentral lists this ribosomal RNA (467 nucleotides) under uncultured bacterium. RNAcentral's name for it is "partial 16S ribosomal RNA". It matches the Rfam family "Bacterial small subunit ribosomal RNA", at positions 28 to 507 of the family's 1533-position model. The record is from RNAcentral.